CACGUAGGGGGCGAGCGUUGUCCGGAUUUAUUGGGCGUAAAGAGCUCGUAGGCGGCUCGGUAAGUCAACUGUGAAAGCUCCGGGCUCAACUCGGAGAGGCCAGUUGAUACUGCCGUGGCUAGAGUCCGGUAGGGGAGCGUGGAAUUCCUGGUGUAGCGGUGAAAUGCGCAGAUAUCAGGAGGAACACCAGCGGCGAAGGCGGCGCUCUGGGCCGGAACUGACGCUGAGGCGCGAAAGCGUGGGUAGCAAACAGG
Molecule: ribosomal RNA, 254 nt
Filed under: uncultured bacterium
Lineage: Bacteria
Description: partial 16S ribosomal RNA
Rfam family: Bacterial small subunit ribosomal RNA
Source: RNAcentral